Acanthosepion pharaonis is the source of this 110-nucleotide non-coding RNA. Lineage: Eukaryota; Metazoa; Mollusca; Cephalopoda; Sepiida; Sepiidae. The record is from the annotation of a GenBank genome assembly.
AACGGCCAUAUCACGGGGAAACACCGGUCCUCGUACGAUCACCGAAGUUAAGCAACGUCGAGUCUGGUCAGUAGCUAGAUGGAUGACUGCCUGGGAAUAUCGGGCCCUGU